GGAAUAUUGGGCAAUGGGGGGAACCCUGACCCAGCAACGCCGCGUGAGGGAAGAAGGUUUUCGGAUCGUAAACCUCUGUCCUUGGUGAAGAGGAAGAGACGGUAGCCAAGGAGGAAGCCCCGGCUAACUACGUGCCAGCAGCCGCGGUAAUACGUAGGGGGCGAGCGUUGUCCGGAAUGAUUGGGCGUAAAGGGCGCGUAGGCGGCUCGGUAAGUCUGAAGUGAAAGUCCUGGUUUCAAGUUGGGAAUUGCUUUGGAUACUGUCGGGCUUGAGUGCAGGAGAGGUAAGUGGAAUUCCCAGUGUAGCGGUGAAAUGCGUAGAGAUUGGGAGGAACACCAGUAGCGAAGGCGACUUACUGGACUGUAACUGACGCUGAGGCGCGAAAGUGUGGGGAGCAAACA
RNAcentral lists this ribosomal RNA (401 nucleotides) under uncultured bacterium. RNAcentral describes it as "bacterial SSU rRNA". It matches the Rfam family "Bacterial small subunit ribosomal RNA", at positions 358 to 774 of the family's 1533-position model. The record is from RNAcentral.